RNAcentral lists this unclassified non-coding RNA (335 nucleotides) under soil metagenome. RNAcentral's name for it is "partial contains 5.8S ribosomal RNA, internal transcribed spacer 2, and large subunit ribosomal RNA". The stretch from base 1 to 120 matches the Rfam family "5.8S ribosomal RNA", at positions 35 to 154 of the family's 154-position model. The record is from RNAcentral.
GAUGAAGAACGCAGUGAAAUGCGAUAAGUAAUGUGAAUUGCAGAAUUCAGUGAAUCAUCGAAUCUUUGAACGCACAUUGCGCCCGCCAGUAUUCUGGCGGGCAUGCCUGUUCGAGCGUCAUUUCAACCAUCAAGCCCCCGGCUUGUGUUGGGGACCUGCGGCUGCCGCAGGCCCUGAAAACCAGUGGCGGGCUCGCUAGUCACUCCGAGCGUAGUAAUACAUCUCGCUCAGGGCGUGCUGCGGGUUCCGGCCGUUAAAAGCCUUAUUUUACCCAAGGUUGACCUCGGAUCAGGUAGGAAGACCCGCUGAACUUAAGCAUAUCAAUAAGCGGAGGA